AUGUUAUCAUUAUCACUUUCAGCUACAGCAGUACAAAGAGCAAGCAAAAGGCUGCCUGUACACAAUGAUGUUCGCCUUCUACGAGUACGUACUCAAUUCGCGCUUUCACAGCACUGCAUAUACAUAACGCCGUACCUACAUAUAGCUAGAGAACUGUGUACUAGCUAGUAUACGGCUGGCUAUCUCGUUACACAGCCUAUAAAUCGGGCGUCGCGCGGCGUCGCGUUACAAGUGCCCCCUCCGGCAGCGCGCUAAUGACGUACUUGUUCCCGGCCCCGGCGCGGAUCGGCGAGUAGUUCGCGCCGAAUUUUACACUGAAUACAGUGAAUACUGUGUUUA
Cydia amplana is the source of this 339-nucleotide long non-coding RNA. RefSeq lists it as uncharacterized. Lineage: Eukaryota; Metazoa; Arthropoda; Insecta; Lepidoptera; Tortricidae. The transcript is spliced from 2 exons. The record is from RefSeq and is a predicted model, not a curated record.